RNAcentral lists this small RNA (31 nucleotides) under Arabidopsis thaliana (thale cress). RNAcentral describes it as "ATSL295010". Lineage: Eukaryota; Viridiplantae; Streptophyta; Magnoliopsida; Brassicales; Brassicaceae. The record is from RNAcentral.
AGGUAGAGACAUGUGGUGAAAGCAAGAACUG